Long non-coding RNA from Pecten maximus, 1418 nucleotides. RefSeq lists it as uncharacterized. NCBI's taxonomy places the organism in Eukaryota, Metazoa, Mollusca, Bivalvia, Pectinida, Pectinidae. The transcript has 2 exons. The record is from RefSeq and is a predicted model, not a curated record.
GACAAUAUUCACAACACCAUGUUAAAUGUAGUAUCCCAGAAUUAGAUUUUCUUUUGAAAAAUGAUAAGUAUUAAUUUUUUCAACAUUUAUUAUGAACACAUUAAAUAUGUGAAAAUGCACAUUUGAUAGACAGUACAUGAAAGUAUUUAUCACCAAUAAGCCCUUGUAUUUUUUGCCUACAACUAAGCCUCCUUCAUUUUUUCCAAAAUCAUAAUUUUUUUGAAUACUAAAGUUAUGAAUGAAAAAUAAAAUGGUUCACAAAUAAGACUCACUGCAUACUCUAUACUACAAGGGCAGGGGGCUUAUAUUAGGAUGAAUAGAAUACAUUGUAUAUAUGCAAUGGAAAAAAGACGUCAAGUAGUCAAGGUGAAAAUAGAUGAUCAAAUAGCCUACAGGUUAUCAAAUAGGGUUAUCAAGAUUUCCAAAUAGGGUUAUCAAGAUUUCCAAAUAGGGUUAUCAAGGUUAUCAAAUACGGUUAUCAAGGUUACCAAAUAGGGUUAUCAAAUAGGGUUAUCAAGGUUAUCAAAUACGGUUAUCAAGGUUACCAAAUACGGUUAUCAAGGUUAUCAAAUAAGGUUAUCAAGGUUAUCAAAUAUGGUUAUCAAGGUUAUCAGAUAGGGUUAUCAAGGUUAUCAAACACGGUUAUCAAGGUUACCAAAUAGGGUUAUCAAGGUUAUCAAAUAAGGUUAUCAAGGUUAUCAAAUACGGUUAUCAAGGUUAUCAAAUACGGUUAUCAAGGUUAUCAAAUACGGUUAUCAAGGUAUCAAAUACGGUUAUCAAGGUUAUCAAAUAACUAUGAGCGUUUUGUCCUCUUUUGUGACCUGAAGUUAAAACGUUCCCAACCAUUCAAUACACUGCUCCAAUAAGGACAAGUAAUUUAAAAUUUAUGAAAUUGUUUCUGUGAAGUAUACUCGCAUACAGUUUGGAACUUCAAAGAACUCUUCAAGGAAGAGUCUGCCUACAAAAAGUUAUCAGGUUUCAAAAAACCUUUAGAUUCAGUAUUGAAAGUAGUGACCUCUAUAUAUAUACACACAUAUUUUUAGACAUACAGUUCAAGGGACAUAUAAUAUCUGACUCAGUUAUUAUAAUAUCGUGAUUAUUUUAAUAUUUUUCUCUGCCAAUUAAAAAUUGGAAAGUAGAAUAUUAUGAUAUGCGUGAUCCACUUCAUUUAGAUGUAUGGUAUAUAUGAAUCUCCUUGUUAUUAUUUUGUCUUCGAUAUAUUCAAAAGAAUUCUAAUACAUAUUUCCUGCUGUGAUGAUCUCAAGUUUUAUUCUUUGAAAUAAAAUUUUUAGUAUUGAAUGCUGUAUUUAUAUGAUUCCCUGGUUAACAUUCCGUGUUGUUUUAUUUUAACUGCUGGGUAUUAAUUAUAACAAUAAAUGGCGUUAUUUGAUUAUAACAAUAAAUGGUGUUAUUUUAUA